GUGAGUGAACUUGCAUUAAAAUGCUUUGGGAGAUACACAUUUAUGUUUGAUUGAAUCCCCUAAAACGUUUUAUUGGUUUUUCUUCAAAAACUUGCAUAGGAACAAGCCCUUAUGAAAUGUUUUUAUGUUACGAAAUGGAUAGUGUGAUGAAUUCAUAUGUUUAUGUAUAAUGUUGAUAUAUAUAUAUAUAUACUAUGUCAUAAAUGGUACCAUUGUGUGACAAAUGCAACCGUGCAUGUGCGGGGUG
RNAcentral lists this long non-coding RNA (247 nucleotides) under Theobroma cacao (cacao). RNAcentral describes it as "long non-coding RNA (TCAC_LNC006246)". The record is from RNAcentral. Lineage: Eukaryota; Viridiplantae; Streptophyta; Magnoliopsida; Malvales; Malvaceae.